UUAAAGAUAGUAUAAUAAUACAUCCUUCUGUUAAUUGGAAAAUGAAUAAUUCUCUUUAAG
Molecule: transfer RNA, 60 nt
Filed under: Riccardoella reaumuri
Lineage: Eukaryota; Metazoa; Arthropoda; Arachnida; Trombidiformes; Ereynetidae
Description: tRNA-Asn
Source: RNAcentral